Molecule: long non-coding RNA, 250 nt
Filed under: Actinidia chinensis (golden kiwifruit)
Lineage: Eukaryota; Viridiplantae; Streptophyta; Magnoliopsida; Ericales; Actinidiaceae
Description: long non-coding RNA (ACHI_LNC002491)
Source: RNAcentral
UGGAGUUGCUCCCCCUUGGAAGUGACAAGACCGAUGAUAAAGUCUGAUUAAGAGAUUGUUCAUGCAUUAAUGUCACAUUGGAGCCGGGAAGGUUUAAAAUGGGGGAAAAAAGCACCGUAACUUUGUUCGUGUCCACACUCUUUUUUCGGAUCAGUUAAAGAGUUUUACAUCUUUUUCUCGGACAAUGCUACUACUUCUUCUCUAUUGAUUAGAUUGGAAAGGAAAGCACGGUAACUUUGUUCGUUUCAAA